Molecule: transfer RNA, 71 nt
Filed under: Mycobacteroides abscessus subsp. abscessus
Lineage: Bacteria; Bacillati; Actinomycetota; Actinomycetes; Mycobacteriales; Mycobacteriaceae
Description: tRNA-Cys
Rfam family: tRNA
About the family: Transfer RNA (tRNA) molecules are approximately 80 nucleotides in length. Their secondary structure includes four short double-helical elements and three loops (D, anti-codon, and T loops). Further hydrogen bonds mediate the characteristic L-shaped molecular structure. tRNAs have two regions of fundamental functional importance: the anti-codon, which is responsible for specific mRNA codon recognition, and the 3' end, to which the tRNAs corresponding amino acid is attached (by aminoacyl-tRNA synthetases). tRNAs cope with the degeneracy of the genetic code in two manners: having more than one tRNA (with a specific anti-codon) for a particular amino acid; and 'wobble' base-pairing, i.e. permitting non-standard base-pairing at the 3rd anti-codon position.
Source: RNAcentral
GUCUCCGUGGCCGAGUGGUUAAGCAGCGGCCUGCAAAGCCGUCUACGCCGGUUCGAAUCCGGCCGGAGACU